Molecule: ribosomal RNA, 477 nt
Filed under: uncultured bacterium
Lineage: Bacteria
Description: partial 16S ribosomal RNA
Rfam family: Bacterial small subunit ribosomal RNA
Source: RNAcentral
GAUGAACGCUGGCGGCGUGCCUAACACAUGCAAGUCGAACGAAGCACCUUACCUGAUUCUUCGGAUGAAAGUUUGGUGACUGAGUGGCGGACGGGUGAGUAACGCGUGGGUAACCUGCCCUGUACAGGGGGAUAACAGCUGGAAACGGCUGCUAAUACCGCAUAAGCGCACGAGGAGACAUCUCCUUGUGUGAAAAACUCCGGUGGUACAGGAUGGGCCCGCGUCUGAUUAGCUGGUUGGCAGGGUAACGGCCUACCAAGGCAACGAUCAGUAGCCGGUCUGAGAGGAUGAACGGCCACAUUGGAACUGAGACACGGUCCAAACUCCUACGGGAAGCAGCAGUGGGGAAUAUUGCACAAUGGGGGAAACCCUGAUGCAGCAACGCCGCGUGAGUGAAGAAGUAUUUCGGUAUGUAAAGCUCUAUCAGCAGGGAAGAUAAUGACGGUACCUGACUAAGAAGCUCCGGCUAAAUACAUG